This 497-nucleotide ribosomal RNA is filed under the name uncultured bacterium. RNAcentral describes it as "partial 16S ribosomal RNA". It matches the Rfam family "Bacterial small subunit ribosomal RNA", at positions 28 to 507 of the family's 1533-position model. The record is from RNAcentral.
GAUGAACGCUGGCGGCGUGCCUAAUACAUGCAAGUCGAGCGAACGGACGAGAAGCUUGCUUCUCUGAUGUUAGCGGCGGACGGGUGAGUAACACGUGGAUAACCUACCUAUAAGACUGGGAUAACUUCGGGAAACCGGAGCUAAUACCGGAUAAUAUUUUGAACCGCAUGGUUCAAAAGUGAAAGACGGUCUUGCUGUCACUUAUAGAUGGAUCCGCGCUGCAUUAGCUAGUUGGUAAGGUAACGGCUUACCAAGGCAACGAUGCAUAGCCGACCUGGGAGGGUGAUCGGCCACACUGGAACUGAGACACGGUCCAGACUCCUACGGGAGGCAGCAGUAGGGAAUCUUCCGCAAUGGGCGAAAGCCUGACGGAGCAACGCCGCGUGAGUGGUGAAGGUCUUCGGAUCGUAAAACUCUGUUAUUAGGGAAGAACAUAUGUGUAAGUAACUGUGCACAUCUUGACGGUACCUAAUCAGAAAGCCACGGCUAACUACGUG